This 1420-nucleotide long non-coding RNA is filed under the name Homo sapiens (human). Its description in RNAcentral is "HSALNT0332635". Lineage: Eukaryota; Metazoa; Chordata; Mammalia; Primates; Hominidae. The record is from RNAcentral.
UGCCACUGCAGUCCAGCCUGGGCAACAGAGCCAGACUCUGUCUCAAACAUCAAUAAAUAAAUAAAAUGGCAGUGUUUCCAAUGCACUUGGAAUCACAUCUCCAACUAUAUUUGAUUUAAAAAACCUUAGAUGUCAACUUUUAAAAUGGGAAAGGCAAACAUGAACAGUGUUUGAAAGCCUCUUUCUAGCACACCUGUGCACUCUGCUGGCCCCCACCAGUUGUAGGACAACCACGACUACAGUGUUAGCUGCACAUCUGCUCACGCCACUUGCAUUGGUUAAUGUAAUCAUCCUGCUGCAUUUAAAAUUACGUAAUAAACUGCAAAAAUAGAGCUGUUAAGAGAGUUAUUUCUAGGAAAACUAGUUGAAUGCUUGGGAAAGACAUACUGAGUCACUAAAUAUAAUUUGGUUAAAUUAGGUGUAGGUGUAAAAGAUGGGGGAAGACUGCUUCACAUGUUUCUUUUCCUAAGUUCUUGCUCUCCUUUAAAAGAAAAAAAAAAAACAGACAAAUAUCAAAAACCAGAAGUUGUAAUCCAGUGUUUGCCAAGGUUUCUUGGUAAGAAUUACCUGGGUCAUUUGCUAACUACACAGAUAAACAGGCAUCUUCCCCCUAGAAAUUCUGAUUCAGGAAGUCUAGGUGGGGGCCUUGGGAUCUGAUUUUCCUGGUUGUCUGUUUUGUUUUAUAAAAUAAGGGCUGGAGUCAUUCGUAUCUUCAGGGGUAUUUGGGGAACACGAGGAAGAUUAUGGAUACGACAAGAAAGUCUUGUUUUCAGUGGCUUUUUGAAUGAACAGACCAACUAAGCCCUGACUGCAUGGACUAGGAGGGCUUCCCUACCCGCCCUUGACAGCACAGCCAGGGAGAGCGCUGGACUUCCCUAACACACACGGUCAACUAUCGCUUCAAAGCAGUGACCUCUUCACACCCUAGAUAGGUAGCAGGCCCAAUGUGGCCCAAAGGCUGCUGUUUGCUCACUCCUGGGUCUAGAAGAAAACAUACUAAACUGCUAACGGUAACUAUUUCUGGAUAGCAGAACUAUGGGCGAUUUCUAAUUUCCUCUUUAUAAUGUGAUAAUUUUUGCAUGUUCUCAAUUAAAUUUAAUCAUAAGCAUGUAUUAUUUAAAAAACCAAUAGCAUGUUCUUUUCUUUGUUUUUGGUGGGGCUGGGGGAGGAGGCUUUGAGAUGCCCAAGACAUGCAUGGUUUCCUAUUUUAAUACAAAUUCUUAUUCAUUGUUUCUCAGUUUUUCUAUAGGAUACCACAAAGACCUCUCAACAUACAUUUGAAGGAAAGGAAGAAAUGGAGGGAGGAGAGAAGGCGGGAAGGAAAGAAGCAAGGGAGGGAGGAAGGAAAAGAGGAGAGGGGGAAGGAAAAAAUAACAAACUCCAGUCCUGUCCUGGGGUUAGGGAAGGGCAUGACCCACCA